This is a non-coding RNA of Diatrype stigma, 102 nucleotides long. The record is from the annotation of a GenBank genome assembly. Lineage: Eukaryota; Fungi; Ascomycota; Sordariomycetes; Xylariales; Diatrypaceae.
GCGGGGUUAGCUCAGUUGGGAGAGCGUCAGACUGAAGUUCAACUUCAUUCUUGAAUCAUUGGUUUAAUCUGAAGGUCGUGCGUUCGAUCCGCACACACCGCA